Molecule: ribosomal RNA, 492 nt
Filed under: uncultured bacterium
Lineage: Bacteria
Description: partial 16S ribosomal RNA
Rfam family: Bacterial small subunit ribosomal RNA
Source: RNAcentral
AGUGAACGCUGGCGGUUGGCCUAACACAUGCAAGUCGAACGGCAGCACAGUAAGAGCUUGCUCUUACGGGUGGCGAGUGGCGGACGGGUGAGGAAUACAUCGGAAUCUACUUUUUCGUGGGGGAUAACGUAGGGAAACUUACGCUAAUACCGCAUACGACCUACGGGUGAAAGCAGGGGAUCUUCGGACCUUGCGCGAUUGAAUGAGCCGAUGUCGGAUUAGCUAGUUGGCGGGGUAAAGGCCCACCAAGGCGACGAUCCGUAGCUGGUCUGAGAGGAUGAUCAGCCACACUGGAACUGAGACACGGUCCAGACUCCUACGGGAGACAGCAGUGGGGAAUAUUGGACAAUGGGCGCAAGCCUGAUCCAGCCAUACCGCGUGGGUGAAGAAGGCCUUCGGGUUGUAAAGCCCUUUUGUUGGGAAAGAAAAGCAGCAGGUUAAUACCCCGCUGUUCUGACGGUACCCAAAGAAUAAGCACCGGCUAACUUCGUG